This 377-nucleotide ribosomal RNA is filed under the name uncultured bacterium. Its description in RNAcentral is "bacterial SSU rRNA". It matches the Rfam family "Bacterial small subunit ribosomal RNA", at positions 521 to 896 of the family's 1533-position model. The record is from RNAcentral.
UAAUACGUAGGGUGCGAGCGUUAAUCGGAAUUACUGGGCGUAAAGCGUGCGCAGGCGGUUUUGUAAGCCAGAUGUGAAAUCCCCGGGCUUAACCUGGGAAUGGCAUUUGGGACUGCAAGGCUGGAGUUUGGCAGAGGAGACUGGAAUUCCUGGUGUAGCAGUGAAAUGCGUAGAUAUCAGGAGGAACACCGAUGGCGAAGGCAGGUCUCUGGGCUGAAACUGACGCUCAUGCACGAAAGCGUGGGGAGCAAACAGGAUUAGAUACCCUGGUAGUCCACGCCGUAAACGAUGGGUACUAGGUGCCUGGGGGAGCGACCCUCUGGGUGCCGGCGCUAACGCAGGAAGUACCCCGCCUGGGGAGUACGACCGCAAGGUUG